Notolabrus celidotus (New Zealand spotty) is the source of this 612-nucleotide long non-coding RNA. RefSeq lists it as uncharacterized. The transcript has 3 exons. The record is from RefSeq and is a predicted model, not a curated record. Lineage: Eukaryota; Metazoa; Chordata; Actinopteri; Labriformes; Labridae.
GAUCAGCUCCAUGAUGAGACAACCCUCAGCUCAAUGUUUGAUUACAUCUCAAACAGUAGCUCUGGUUCACUUCAGGAGAGGACUGUGGGCCGGGUUUAAAGGAUGGCCUCACUCAGAGACUACGGGGUGACUGAUCCAGACUGCUACAGGAAAUGUUGAGGGUCAAAGGAUCGACUGUGCUAACUCUUGUGUUUAACCUCCUGACGAUCAUCAAACUAAGCCUGGAAAUCAGCAGAGUGGGCAGAAACCAGAUCGCCAGCUAGUCAACGACCUCUAAGACCUCUUGAUGGACUUCAUUUAUCAUGGAUCAGGAUCUUACAGCAGUGUCUUGGGGUUUCACUGGAGUCUCAGAGGUACACCUGAUUGUUUUCUUUUCAUGUUGAUUUGCAGGGCUCUGCACAUGUUCCCAUCAUCCACCACUAAUUCAUGUGUUGCCGUUCAUGUUUUAAUUGUUGCUUUACAGAAAAAAGGUUGUCGACUUUUGAUCCAAACACAAUUAAAACACAGUGUUCCUUUAUGUGUUUCAUAAAGUCAGACCCAUGGUACAAGGAUCUGAAUAGGUUAAAGGUUUGAUAUAAUGUAUUUACGGUGAGGUUUGGUUUAAUAUAAUGU